This 656-nucleotide long non-coding RNA is filed under the name Mus spicilegus (steppe mouse). RNAcentral's name for it is "lncRNA (ENSMSIG00000000649.1)". The record is from RNAcentral. Lineage: Eukaryota; Metazoa; Chordata; Mammalia; Rodentia; Muridae.
UGGUGCAGAGGCGUGGGGACAGGACACAUCUCUGCCAUUCCACUCGCGCGCAAAGCGUUAAAGGCCAGUGAGAGGAUCUGCAGAGGACAGAGAACACCCAGGAAUAGGAGUCGGACGUGGGGGAGCCCAGGGACCUGGGCCGUGCGCCUGGCCAGCCCUGCUUUAAGGCUGGUCAGUUCUUCAAGCAAGGAAAGAAGGCUUCAAGGCGACUGUCUCAAAUCUCUGGAGAUUGUCCUGCUUUAAGGCUGGUCAGUUCUUCAAGCAAGGAAAGAAGGCUUCAAGGCGACUGUCUCAAAUCUCUGGAGAUUGCCCUGCUUUAAGGCUGGUCAGUUCUUCAAGCAAGGAAAGAAGGCUUCAAGGCGACUGUCUCAAAUCUCUGGAGAUCGUCCUGCUUUAAGGUUGGCCAGUUCUUCAAUCAAGGAGAGAAGGCUUCAAGGCGACUGCCUCAGAUCUUGGAGGACUCCCUGCAGUCAGUCAGCUGUUGGUCUUUAACACCACUUGAACACAGAGAAGAGGGGAGACCUGCACCACAUCUGUGAAGGUGGGUAUGGGAGAGGGGUUCACUUUUAGGUGGGGUAGUCUCAAUCACCUCAGAGUGACUACUGUGAGACUUGGGGAUCCCCUCUCUGUCCAUUGCUAGUGUGUGCACUUUCUCC